GUGCCUACGGGGGGCAGCAGUGGGGAAUAUUGCACAAUGGGGGGAACCCUGAUGCAGCGACGCCGCGUGAGUGAAGAAGUAUUUCGGUAUGUAAAGCUCUAUCAGCAGGGAAGAAGAUGACGGUACCUGACUAAGAAGCCCCGGCUAACUACGUGCCAGCAGCCGCGGCAAUACGUAGGGGGCAAGCGUUAUCCGGAUUUACUGGGUGUAAAGGGAGCGUAGACGGCAGGGCAAGUCUGGAGUGAAAGCCCGGGGCCCAACCC
Molecule: ribosomal RNA, 263 nt
Filed under: uncultured bacterium
Lineage: Bacteria
Description: partial 16S ribosomal RNA
Rfam family: Bacterial small subunit ribosomal RNA
Source: RNAcentral